GAUGAACGCUGGCGGCGUGCCUAAUACAUGCAAGUCGAGCGAACAGACGAGGAGCUUGCUCCUCUGACGUUAGCGGCGGACGGAUGAGUAACACGUGGAUAACCUACCUAUAAGACUGGGAUAACUUCGGGAAACCGGAGCUAAUACCGGAUAAUAUAUUGAACCGCAUGGUUCAAUAGUGAAAGACGGUUUUGCUGUCACUUAUAGAUGGAUCCGCGCCGCAUUAGCUAGUUGGUAAGGUAACGGCUUACCAAGGCAACGAUGCGUAGCCGACCUGAGAGGGUGAUCGGCCACACUGGAACUGAGACACGGUCCAGACUCCUACGGGAGGCAGCAGUAGGGAAUCUUCCGCAAUGGGCGAAAGCUUGACGGAGCAACGCCGCAUGAGUGAUGAAGGUCUUCGGAUCGUAAAACUCUGUUAUUAGGGAAGAACAAAUGUGUAAGUAACUAUGCACGUCUUGACGGUACCUAAUCAGAAAGCCACGGCUAACUACGUG
Molecule: ribosomal RNA, 497 nt
Filed under: uncultured bacterium
Lineage: Bacteria
Description: partial 16S ribosomal RNA
Rfam family: Bacterial small subunit ribosomal RNA
Source: RNAcentral